CCCGCGGCGUAUUAGCUAGUUGGUGAGGUAACGGCUCACCAAGGCAAUGAUACGUAGCCGAACUGAGAGGUUGAUCGGCCACAUUGGGACUGAGACACGGCCCAAACUCCUACGGGAGGCAGCAGUAGGGAAUCUUCCACAAUGGACGCAAGUCUGAUGGAGCAACGCCGCGUGAGUGAAGAAGGCUUUCGGGUCGUAAAACUCUGUUGUUGGAGAAGAAUGGUCGGCAGAGUAACUGUUGUCGGCGUGACGGUAUCCAACCAGAAAGCCACGGCUAACUACGUGCCAGCAGCCGCGGUAAUACGUAGGUGGCAAGCGUUAUCCGGAUUUAUUGGGCGUAAAGCGAGCGCAGGCGGUUUUUUAAGUCUGAUGUGAAAGCCCUCGGCUUAACCGAGGAAGUGCAUCGGAAACUGGGAAACUUGAGUGCAGAAGAGGACAGUGGAACUCCAUGUGUAGCGGUGAAAUGCGUAGAUAUAUGGAAGAACACCAGUGGCGAAGGCGGCUGUCUGGUCUGUAACUGACGCUGAGGCUCGAAAGCAUGGGUAGCGAACAGGAUUAGAUACCCUGGUAGUCCAUGCCGUAAACGAUGAAUGCUAGGUGUUGGAGGGUUUCCGCCCUUCAGUGCCGCAGCUAACGCAUUAAGCAUUCCGCCUGGGGAGUACGACCGCAAGGUUGAAACUCAAAGGAAUUGACGGGGGCCCGCACAAGCGGUGGAGCAUGUGGUUUAAUUCGAAGCAACGCGAAGAACCUUACCAGGUCUUGACAUCUUUUGAUCACCUGAGAGAUCAGGUUUCCCCUUCGGGGGCAAAAUGACAGGUGGUGCAUGGUUGUCGUCAGCUCGUGUCGUGAGAUGUUGGGUUAAGUCCCGCAACGAGCGCAACCCUUAUGACUAGUUGCCAGCAUUUAGUUGGGCACUCUAGUAAGACUGCCGGUGACAAACCGGAGGAAGGUGGGGA
RNAcentral lists this ribosomal RNA (956 nucleotides) under Lacticaseibacillus rhamnosus. Its description in RNAcentral is "bacterial SSU rRNA". It matches the Rfam family "Bacterial small subunit ribosomal RNA", at positions 230 to 1179 of the family's 1533-position model. The record is from RNAcentral. Lineage: Bacteria; Bacillati; Bacillota; Bacilli; Lactobacillales; Lactobacillaceae.